GGGGAUUUAGCUCAGUGGUAGAGCGCUUGCCUAGAAGUGCAAGACCCUGGGUUCGGUCCCCAGCUCCG
Molecule: transfer RNA, 68 nt
Filed under: Rattus norvegicus (Norway rat)
Lineage: Eukaryota; Metazoa; Chordata; Mammalia; Rodentia; Muridae
Rfam family: tRNA
About the family: Transfer RNA (tRNA) molecules are approximately 80 nucleotides in length. Their secondary structure includes four short double-helical elements and three loops (D, anti-codon, and T loops).
Source: Rfam by way of RNAcentral